GAUGAAGAACGCAGCGAAAUGCGAUACGUAAUGUGAAUUGCAGAAUUCAGUGAAUCAUCGAAUCUUUGAACGCAUAUUGCGCUCUCUGGUAUUCCGGAGAGCAUGCUUGUUUGAGUAUCAGUAAACACCUCAACUCCCCUUUCUUUUUUUGAAAUGGGAGCUGGACUUGAGUGAUCCCAACGCUUAUCUCACCGAAAAGUGGCGGGUUACUUGAAAUGCAGGUGCAGCUGGACUUUUCUCUGAGCUAAAAGCAUAUCUAUUUAGUCUGCCUAAAAAACAGAUUAUUACCUUUGCUGCAGCUAACAUAAAGGAGAUUAGUUCUUGUGCUGACUGAUGCAGGAUUCACAGAGACAGCUUCGGCUGGCCUUUGUAAACUCGAUCUCAAAUCAAGUAAGACUACCCGCUGAACUUAAGCAUAUCAAUAAGCGGAGGA
This 433-nucleotide unclassified non-coding RNA is filed under the name soil metagenome. RNAcentral describes it as "partial contains 5.8S ribosomal RNA, internal transcribed spacer 2, and large subunit ribosomal RNA". The stretch from base 1 to 120 matches the Rfam family "5.8S ribosomal RNA", at positions 35 to 154 of the family's 154-position model. The record is from RNAcentral.